Molecule: long non-coding RNA, 220 nt
Filed under: Elaeis guineensis (African oil palm)
Lineage: Eukaryota; Viridiplantae; Streptophyta; Magnoliopsida; Arecales; Arecaceae
Description: long non-coding RNA (EGUI_LNC072007)
Source: RNAcentral
UGAAAUCGGAUUAUGAUUUUAAUAAUAUGGAUGGGGCAUUGGGUGGUGUUUGGACUAAUUAGUCAUGCAAAAAAUAUAGUAUAUAUACUAGAUCAGCCUUGGACUAUGUUGUGGUAUUAUGUUUGGCCUACCAUAGGUUAGCUGGAGCAUAGUUAUAAUUAGUCUAAUAUUCGAAAGAUAAAUAUAAAUUAGCAUAACUAUAAGAGUGGGAAAAAGAGGA